CUCGCUUCUUGGCCUUUUAGCUGUGAUCAAAUGUAGUAUUUGGUCUUAUCAGUUUAAUAUCUGAUACGUCCCCUAUCCGGGAACCAUAUAUUAAUUCGAUUUUUGGAACAGGGAAAUGGAAUAGGGGCUUGCUCCAUCAACUCCCCGCAUCGACCUGGUAUCGCAGUACCUCCAGGAACGGUGCGCCCCCU
Molecule: small nuclear RNA, 191 nt
Organism: Nerophis ophidion (straightnose pipefish)
Lineage: Eukaryota; Metazoa; Chordata; Actinopteri; Syngnathiformes; Syngnathidae
Product: U2 spliceosomal RNA
Exons: 1
Source: RefSeq, a predicted model, not a curated record